UACGUAGGGUGCAAGCGUUAAUCGGAAUUACUGGGCGUAAAGCGUGCGCAGGCGGUUAUGUAAGACAGGUGUGAAAUCCCCGGGCUAACCUGGGAACUGCAUUUGUGACUGCAUAGCUAGAGUACGGUAGAGGGGGAUGGAAUUCCGCGUGUAGCAGUGAAAUGCGUAGAUAUGCGGAGGAACACCGAUGGCGAAGGCGGCAUCCUGGACCGAAACUGACGCUGAGGAGCGAAAGCGUGGG
Molecule: ribosomal RNA, 241 nt
Filed under: uncultured bacterium
Lineage: Bacteria
Description: partial 16S ribosomal RNA
Rfam family: Bacterial small subunit ribosomal RNA
Source: RNAcentral